CACGUUUCAAUAAAGCACAGAAAAAUUAUCUGUUUAAAUAUUAUUAACAGACAAACUUUGGUUCUUUAUCUACUACAGGGAUUCUGCAGGUUUCACAAACUCAAAUUUAAGACCUUUUUACAACCGCUAUGAAUGAAAUUUAAGACCCAAAUUGCCAAAGAAAAGUACAAAAGAAAAUUGUAUAUUUCAUAUAGUAGCAGUGCUGAGCUUUUUUGCACAGAAUGAACGUAACAUUUUAGGGGUUUUUAACAGAAAUAAGCAAAUAUCGUCCAGCCGACUGACAAUAAAUGGACACAUACCCUUGAUGGACGCAAAAGAGCUAGCUAGCAAGGUUACAGAACAGAAGUUCGAUGUCUGAGUGAGACUCAAAUGUUUGAGUGGAGAAAAAAAAAUUCAUAGAACAUACAAGAUUAAAUAGCUCUGCUACAAAGACCAUCGUUUAGCUAACAACCAUGCUAAUUGUGGCGAUAAUUAAACACGACAAAAUUUAAGACCUGUGAUUAAGGUAUUUAAGGCCAACUCACAUAAAAACAAUUUUAAGACAUUUUAAGGCCUCAACUUGAGACACAUUAAUUUAAGAUUUAAGACUGUGCGGACAGCGUGUGUUAGAGGACUACAGAGAUAUUGACUGGCUGGUCAGACACCAAGAACAACUGAAUGCACCGUUGCUAAGCGAUGACAGGUCACAUUAACAAAACCCCUCUUUAGCUAAUGAUGCUAACCAUGCAAACUGUGCUGAUAAGAUGUUGAACUACAUACUCAUUUACUCUCUUUUUAAAACAGUUGAACAUUGACACUGGAUGCUUCUUAAUAGCAUUCAUCCUACAACAAUGACCAUCAUUCUAAAGUCUUAUAAAAUCUGAAUACUGGCAAUCAGCCAUAUGUUUCUGAUCAGUUCUGAUUAAAUGUAGGCGUAGCAGAAAUGUACAAAACCCCCCUUUGCAUAUUAAGACCAUUUUAUGAUAACACAACCUCAGUAGGAGGGAUGUCGUUUUACCAAAUAUGUGUCAUCAUGAAAAGGACUGAGGUAGAACAGUGUGAGGCAAGAUGGAUGCUUUCCGUUAUCAUCUGAGUCACUAAAAGAGGAGGGAGCAGAGCUGAGUUACACUAAAGAUAACAUCGCAUUUGGUUUAACAGAAAUCCAUAACAGUUAGUCAUAUUCAGUACAUUAGCCUUUACUUCUGUUAAUUAUGACACAUAUUCACUUACAGCUAAUGAAGACAUCUCAUUUAAGGUCAGAAUAUCACAUCACAUCAGACCAAUAAAAAAAAAAAUACUUUCAAUACAAAAAUGUGGAUUUGAUAAAAAUGUCAGAACACUCAUUCCAAUUGUCUAAAGAUGACUGUACUUUUACAAAUGAUAUUUGAUGCAAUUAUAACAACUAACAUAACUGAAUAAUUAGCUUCCCUAUCUUCAUACUUCAACUGUUUUUAGAGGGAAACAUUUCUGUCCGUUCUACAAAUGGGAUCGACAUCUGCAGUAAAAACAGACGGGAUCAGAGAGAGGACAAAAUCCCUCUGAAAGCCACGGUUUGAAAUCCCCGAACCAGCCUCAACAUUAAAAUUAUACUAUGAGAAAAGCUGAUGUUUGUUUAGACAGUUUGCAUUCCCCGUUUUAAAAAAAAUAACGUUUCUAUAGACAGUGAUUCGUGCUAAAUGGGAAAGUCCAGAAACAUGAGCGCUGCAGCUGUGCUGGGUGAUGUAGUUCCUUCCUGGUUUGAUAAGCGGUGCCUCACAUGAGGAAGCUAACGGCCGACACUUUCAGAUAGAGGAAUGGAGUGUUAGCAGUAGCACUGACCCUCACACGGCCACAUUAGAGUAAACACUCUCUCUCUGGUUAAUCUGUGUUAGUGUGUGUGUGUUGGUUGGAUAGAAUAGAGAAACGUUAUCGUUACAGAAGCAAAUGUUAGUAGAUGCAGUCAGUACUUUAGGUCAGUUAGCCAAAAAUAAUAAGCACCACCUUAACGGCAACAUACAUUUCUGCACAUGCAAGUAAAUCAAAGUGGUUCAUAAUUUCCACACAGACAUGAACUUACUUAUUACUAAUUACAUUUUUUAAAAAUGUAAUAAAAAUUAUUUUUGAAAAAAGAUGACAGAUCUGUGCAACCACAAACUCCUCUUUACGAAUUACUAUUGGUUGAGCUGCUGGAGUCGCGCGCGUGCGUGUGCGCGUGUGUGUGUUUUCAGAGAAAGCAGCAGGGAUAGAGCGACCAAAGGGGAAUGACAACAUGUCAGCAGAGAGGAAUCUGGUA
Long non-coding RNA from Poecilia latipinna (sailfin molly), 2251 nucleotides. RefSeq lists it as uncharacterized. The transcript is spliced from 2 exons. Lineage: Eukaryota; Metazoa; Chordata; Actinopteri; Cyprinodontiformes; Poeciliidae. The record is from RefSeq and is a predicted model, not a curated record.